RNAcentral lists this ribosomal RNA (253 nucleotides) under uncultured bacterium. RNAcentral describes it as "partial 16S ribosomal RNA". It matches the Rfam family "Bacterial small subunit ribosomal RNA", at positions 524 to 776 of the family's 1533-position model. The record is from RNAcentral.
UACGUAGGGACCGAGCGUUGUCCGGAAUCAUUGGGUGUAAAGAGCGUGUAGGCGGCUAUUUAAGUCCUGCGUGAAAUCCUGCGGCUCAACCGCAGACGGUCGUGGGAAACUGGAUGGCUAGAGUGCGGGAGAGGAGAGUGGAAUUCCCGGUGUAGCGGUGAAAUGCGCAGAUAUCGGGAAGAACACCCGUGGCGAAGGCGGCUCUCUGGAACGCAACUGACGCUGAGACGCGAAAGCGUGGGGAGCAAACAGG